GAUUCCCUGAGUAGCGGCGAGCGAAACGGGAUUAGCCCAAACCAAGAGGCUUGCCUCUUGGGGUUGUAGGACACUCUGUACGGAGUUACAAAAGAACGAGGUAGAUGAAGAGGUCUGGAAAGGCCCGCCAUAGGAGGUAACAGCCCUGUAGUCAAAACUUCGUUCUCUCCUGAGUGGAUCCUGAGUACGGCGGAACACGUGAAAUUCCGUCGGAAUCCGGGAGGACCAUCUCCCAAGGCUAAAUACUCCCUAGUGACCGAUAGUGAACCAGUACCGUGAGGGAAAGGUGAAAAGCACCCCGGAAGGGGAGUGAAAGAGAUCCUGAAACCGUGUGCCUACAAGUAGUCAGAGCCCGUUAACGGGUGAUGGCGUGCCUUUUGUAGAAUGAACCGGCGAGUUACGAUCCCGUGCAAGGUUAAGCAGAAGAUGCGGAGCCGCAGCGAAAGCGAGUCUGAAUAGGGCGCAUGAGUACGUGGUCGUAGACCCGAAACCAGGUGAUCUACCCAUGUCCAGGGUGAAGUUCAGGUAACACUGAAUGGAGGCCCGAACCCACGCACGUUGAAAAGUGCGGGGAUGAGGUGUGGGUAGGGGUGAAAUGCCAAUCGAACCUGGAGAUAGCUGGUUCUCUCCGAAAUAGCUUUAGGGCUAGCCUCAAGGUAAGAGUCUUGGAGGUAGAGCACUGAUUGGACUAGGGGCCCCUACCGGGUUACCGAAUUCAGUCAAACUCCGAAUGCCAAUGACUUAUCCUUGGGAGUCAGACUGCGAGUGAUAAGAUCCGUAGUCGAAAGGGAAA
This 793-nucleotide ribosomal RNA is filed under the name Bacillus sp. (in: firmicutes). Its description in RNAcentral is "bacterial LSU rRNA". It matches the Rfam family "Bacterial large subunit ribosomal RNA", at positions 233 to 1022 of the family's 2925-position model. Lineage: Bacteria; Bacillati; Bacillota; Bacilli; Caryophanales; Bacillaceae. The record is from RNAcentral.